UACGAAGGGGGCUAGCGUUGCUCGGAAUCACUGGGCGUAAAGCGCACGUAGGCGGGUCUGUAAGUCAGGGGUGAAAUCCUGGAGCUCAACUCCAGAACUGCCUUUGAUACUGCGGAUCUCGAGUCCGGGAGAGGUGAGUGGAACUCCGAGUGUAGAGGUGAAAUUCGUAGAUAUUCGGAAGAACACCAGUGGCGAAGGCGGCUCACUGGCCCGGUACUGACGCUGAGGUGCGAAAGCGUGGGGAGCAAACAGG
This 253-nucleotide ribosomal RNA is filed under the name uncultured bacterium. RNAcentral describes it as "partial 16S ribosomal RNA". It matches the Rfam family "Bacterial small subunit ribosomal RNA", at positions 524 to 776 of the family's 1533-position model. The record is from RNAcentral.